Molecule: ribosomal RNA, 253 nt
Filed under: uncultured bacterium
Lineage: Bacteria
Description: partial 16S ribosomal RNA
Rfam family: Bacterial small subunit ribosomal RNA
Source: RNAcentral
UACAGAGGUCUCAAGCGUUGUUCGGAUUCAUUGGGCGUAAAGGGUGCGUAGGCGGCGCGGUAAGUCGGGUGUGAAAUCUCGGGGCUUAACUCCGAAACUGCAUUCGGUACUGCCGUGCUUGAGGACUGGAGAGGAGACUGGAAUUUACGGUGUAGCGGUGAAAUGCGUAGAUAUCGUAAGGAAGACCAGUGGCGAAGGCGGGUCUCUGGACAGUUCCUGACGCUGAGGCACGAAGGUCAGGGGAGCAAACGGG